ACCCACAACUGAUCUGAUCAUACUCACCAUGAACAAAUACAUGCUGCUGCUUUUCAUUAUGGCAUCAGAUGUGACAGCUGUGGACAAAAUUGAGCCGAAUAAAGGGACGAGCAUCACCAAAACAGAAGGAGAGUCUGUAACGCUGAGCUGCUCAUAUGAUUCAGACAGUGAAUAUGUACGUCUCUUCUGGUACAGACAAUAUCCUAAUGGAGAUCCUCAAUAUUUAUUACGUGAAGGAGCACGAUCAAACAGUGCUAAGCACAGCUCUGAUCCUCGAUUCCAGUCAAAAACUUCUCGCAUAUUGACUGAACUUAUUAUUAGUAGUGUGUCUGUGUCAGAUUCAGCUCUCUAUUACUGCGCUUUAAGAGUUGAAGCCCAGUGAUACAAAACACGAAACAAGUCGUACAAAAACUACAAGCCAUCUUCACUUUGAAGCUGUUAUUAUGAAAACCUCAAUGCGAGAUAAUAACAAUAAACACCUGUGUGAGGUUGAUAGGAAAGAUGUUUUAUGAAAGGAAAAAAUAGCAUAAAAAAAAGCUUGUCAGAAAGAUAAAAUGCUUAAAAAUGUUUUAGGGUUGCAACUGUGUGUUAAAAAACGUACUACAAAUGUGCAACAAUUAUGUUACAUUUGCAAAAAACCUAAAGCUUCCCCAUAAUGAAAAUGUAUUUCAAGUAGUUUUGUUUUUUAACUGACUGACACUAAAGUAUGACUAAAGUUCAUUUUAACUUGUGUACAAAAUCUUCUAUGCACCCACUUAGAAUAUUAUAACUUAGAAUUAAUCUUAACAAUAAUGGACAGAAAAUUUGUUUCACAUAAUGGUAGCAAUAAUGAGCCAGGCCAUAAGAAAAACUAUUCCUUCAAAAUAAAGCUUCUUUUUUGUCUUGAAGUGUCAAAAGAGGAGGGAUUUAUAUCUGACAUGAUCUAUUUCUGUCUGACA
Non-coding RNA from Carassius auratus (goldfish), 938 nucleotides. NCBI's taxonomy places the organism in Eukaryota, Metazoa, Chordata, Actinopteri, Cypriniformes, Cyprinidae. The record is from the annotation of a RefSeq genome assembly.